Molecule: small nuclear RNA, 107 nt
Filed under: Otolemur garnettii (small-eared galago)
Lineage: Eukaryota; Metazoa; Chordata; Mammalia; Primates; Galagidae
Source: RNAcentral
UGGCUCACUUCAGCAGCACAUAUACUAAAACUAGAAUGAUACAGAGAAGAUUAGCAUGACCCCUACACAAGGAUGACACACAAAUUCGUGAAGCGUUCUUUAUUUUU